GGCUGAAAAAGGUGUCUCUGGAAUCACACUCCUAGAUCUUUCUUGAAGACUUGAAAAGAAUUAGAUUAGGGCCAUGGGGACACAGAAGGUCGCCCCCGUUCUGAUCGUUGCCAUUACAGUUGCUACAAUCGGCUCGUUCCAAUUUGGCUACAACACUGGGGUCAUUAAUACUCCUGAGAUGAUCAUAAAGGAAUUUGUCAAUAACACUUUGAAGAACAAGAAAAAUGCCUCUCCCUCUGAGAUGUUGCUCGCGACCCUCUGGUCCUUGUCUGUGGCCACAUUCUCCGUUGGUGGUAUGAUCGGCUCCUUUUCCAUCAAACACUUUGUCAACCACUUUGGCGGGUGCAAUUCAAUGCUGAUCGUCAGCCUGCUGGCUGUCACUGGUGGCUGCCUUAUGGGCCUGUGUGAAGCAGCUGAGUCAGCUGAAAUGCUGAUACUGGGCUGCCUGGUUAUUGGAGUCUUCUGUGGACUGUGCACAGGCUUUGUGCCCAUGUACAUUGGAGAGAUCUCGCCUAUUGCCCUGCGGGGUGCCUUUGGCCCUCUCAACCAGCUGGGCAUUGUUGUCGGAAUUCUGGUGGCCCAGGUCUUUGGUCCAGCCUUCGUCACUGGGUCUGAAGCUCUAUGGCUGCUGUUACUGAGCUUUACCAUCCUUCCUGCCAUCCUACAAAGUAUAGCCCUACCAUUUUGCCCUGAAAGUCCCAGAUUUUUGCUCAUUGACAGAAGAGGAGAAUGCUAAGCAGAUCCUCCAAUGGUUGUGGGGCACCCAGGAUGUAUCCCAACAUCCAGGAGAUGAAAGAUGAGAGUGCAAGGAUGUCACAAGAAACGCAGGUCACCGUGCUGGAGCUCUGUAGAGUAUCCAGCUGCCGACAGCCCAUCACCAUCUCCAGCAUGCUCCAGCUCUCUCAGCAGCUCUCUGGGACCAAUGCUGCGUUCUGUUACUCCACAGGAAUCUUCAAGGAUGCAGGGGUUCAAGAACCCAUCUUUUUGUUCCAUACUCAUGACUGUUUCUUUGUUAUUAAAGGACGACUAUAAUGGGAUGAGCCUUGUCUGUACUGGGGCUAUCUUGCUCUUUGUGGCCUUCUUUGAAAUUGGACCAGGCCCCAUGUGGCCGAACUCACCAGCCAUGGCCCCUGCCCAGCUGCAAUGGCAGUGGCCGGCUGCUCCAACUGGACCUCCAACUUCCUAGUCGGAUUGCUCUUCCCCUCUGCUCUUACAAUUUGGGAGCCUACGUUUUUAUUAUCUUCACCUGCUUCCUCAUUACCUUCUUGACCUUUACCUUCUUCAAAGUCCCUGAGACCCGUGGCAGGACUUUUGAGGAUCUCACAUGGGCCUUUGAAGGGCAGGCAUAUGGUGCAGCUUGAUCCGGGAAGGAAGGCGUCGUGGAGAGGAACAGCAUCCAGCCUGCUAAGGAGACCACCACGAAUGUCUAAGUCACGGCUCCUUCCACCUCCCUCCCGGCAUGGGAAAGCCACCUCUCCCUGAACGACGGAGAGACCUCAUCAGGAUGCACCCAGGACUGCUUCUGAAUGAGGCUACUUGAUUCCUUUCUUAUCCCAUGCACUCCAUAAGCACCCCAAGGCUGGGAUUUGUUGGAUUUUUCAAUGGCUUUUAAAAUAUUUUAUUUCCUGGACAUUCUCUUCUGCUUAAGAGAGACCAGGAGAACCUACCUUCAUUUCAGGAGGGAUUGGCUGCUUGGUGUAUGACAACUUUGCCAGCUUUUCCUCCCUGGGGUUCUAAUAUUGCCCCACCAGGGGAUAUAGGAAAGGAAGAGUAAGGUGCAGUUCCCCCAGCCUCAGACUUAUCAGGAAGCAGAUACGUAUCCGAGUGUGGAAGGCAGAGGGGGUUUAUGUAGGAGCACCUGUCUCACUUCCAUUCAGCUCUACACAGCAAACUAACUUCAGGGAUUUUUUGUUUUAUCCUCUGGUUUAAUUAUAUAAUUUAGUUUUUUUAGUUGAAGUUUCGGGAUACAUGUGCAGAAUGUGCAGGUUUGUUACACAGGUAUAUAUGUGCCAUGGCGGAAAUAUUUUUUUAAGUGUAAUUUUUCCGAAUA
Sapajus apella (tufted capuchin) is the source of this 2050-nucleotide RNA transcript. It is a transcript of the gene named solute carrier family 2, facilitated glucose transporter member 3 pseudogene, with no coding region annotated. NCBI's taxonomy places the organism in Eukaryota, Metazoa, Chordata, Mammalia, Primates, Cebidae. The record is from RefSeq and is a predicted model, not a curated record. The transcript has a single exon.